Molecule: ribosomal RNA, 475 nt
Filed under: uncultured bacterium
Lineage: Bacteria
Description: bacterial SSU rRNA
Rfam family: Bacterial small subunit ribosomal RNA
Source: RNAcentral
GGGUUGGCUAACAUCCAGCUCGAUGACGGUACCCCUUUAGCAAGCACCGGCUAACUCUGUGCCAGCAGCCGCGGUAAGACAGAGGGUGCAAACGUUGUUCGGAAUUACGUGGGCGUAAAGCGCGUGUAGGCUGCUCGGAAAGUCGGAUGUGAAAGCCCUGGGCUCAACCUAGGAAGUGCAUUCGAAACUUCCGAGCUGGAGUGCUGGAGAGGAAGGCGGAAUUCUCGGUGUAGAGGUGAAAUUCGUAGAUAUCGAGAGGAACACCGGUGGCGAAGGCGGCCUUCUGGACAGCUACUGACGCUGAGACGCGAAAGCGUGGGGAGCAAACAGGAUUAGAUACCCUGGUAGUCCACGCCGUAAACGAUGGGUGCUAGGUGUCGCGGGCUUUGACCCCUGCGGUGCCGUAGCUAACGCAUUAAGCACCCCGCCUGGGGAGUACGGCCGCAAGGCUAAAACUCAAAGGAAUUGACGGGGC